GCUUACGGCCAUACCAGCCUGAAUACGCCCGAUCUCGUCCGAUCUCGGAAGCCAAGCAGGGUCAGGCCUGGUUAGUACUUGGAUGGGUGACCGCCUGGGAAUACCAGGUGCUGUAAGCUU
This 120-nucleotide ribosomal RNA is filed under the name Argyrosomus regius (meagre). Lineage: Eukaryota; Metazoa; Chordata; Actinopteri; Sciaenidae. The record is from RNAcentral.